This 413-nucleotide long non-coding RNA is filed under the name Oryza brachyantha (malo sina). RNAcentral's name for it is "long non-coding RNA (OBRA_LNC000546)". The record is from RNAcentral. Lineage: Eukaryota; Viridiplantae; Streptophyta; Magnoliopsida; Poales; Poaceae.
UCUUUGGUCCUAAGGACUAGUUUAUAAAUAAUUUAUUUUAUAAAUAGGUCCUUGGUGUCAAGAACUAAUUUAUAAGUUAUUUUAUAAAUAGGUCAUCGGUGUUGAACUUAUCAGCGUCAAUGACCAAUUUGUAAAAUAAGUUAUUUAUAAAUAGGUCAUCAAUGUUAGUCUCUUUGGUAACAACUCUUUCCAUGUCAGCGCUCGGCUAUCACAGAGCUAAGAAUAUCGACACAUGUGUCAUUGGCACAAAGAUGUUGGACCUCAACGCCAAUUACUCUAACACAAAGAAAAAUAUUCAUUCAUGAACAAUUUAAGGAUCUAUUUAUAAACGAAAUAAGUUUUUAAAAAGGAUAUCAAUGUAAUGUGUGAGGACAACCGAUAGGAGAAAGAACAUCACAAGAGCACCAAUAGGG